AGGGUUUGAUUCUGGCUCAGGAUGAACGCUGGCGGCGUGCUUAACACAUGCAAGUCGAACGAACCUUCGGGUUAGUGGCGGACGGGUGAGUAACGCGUGAGAAUCUGCCCUCAGGAGGGGGAUAACGGUUGGAAACGACCGCUAAUACCCCAUAUGCCUACUGGUGAAAUGAAUUUCGCCUGAGGAUGAGCUCGCGUCUGAUUAGCUAGUUGGUGAGGUAAUGGCUCACCAAGGCUUCGAUCAGUAGCUGGUCUGAGAGGAUGAUCAGCCACACUGGGACUGAGACACGGCCCAGACUCCUACGGGAGGCAGCAGUGGGGAAUUUUCCGCAAUGGGCGAAAGCCUGACGGAGCAACGCCGCGUGAGGGGCGAAGGCCUCUGGGCUGUAAACCUCUUUCCUCAAGGAAGAAGAUAUGACGGUACUUGAGGAAUAAGCCACGGCUAAUUCCGUGCCAGCCGCCGCGGUAAUUC
Molecule: ribosomal RNA, 471 nt
Filed under: uncultured bacterium
Lineage: Bacteria
Description: bacterial SSU rRNA
Rfam family: Bacterial small subunit ribosomal RNA
Source: RNAcentral